GGAGUGGGCUCCGUGCUACGCGCGGAAUUCGCGGCGACCAAAGGGAGUAACAGCUGUACCCUCAAGGAGCUAACAUGAAGUUAUGCACAACAAACAAUUGCUAACGCCCUAUAAAGUCAAAAUAUGACCGGUGUUUAAAGAUGAGUAAAAACUUCCUUAGGGACCAAACCAGCAAGUAGACUCAGCUUUGGGAGCCAUCACCCUGGUCCACCUUGAUGUGUCAGCACCACAGAGAGCAGCUUACUUCAUACCCAACCCUGUAAUGCUUGAGUCACUCAAAUGGUGGUAAAGAGGCAAACUAGAUUGUUUCUAAUCGGUGUGCACCUUUGGGACACAUAUAUAACCACCCGAUGCACAUCAUUGGUGACCUACGAGCAUACCUACCUCAGCAGUGGGAAUAGGCCCUAGUACGUGAGAAUGUGCCUUAAACAGUGUCUGGCACAUAGUGUGGGAACUGAGGAAUGCAGAAUGGGAAGACUACUGAGGCUACUUAGAGAUGCCUCUCCCAGUGCUCCUUCAGGAUGCUGCUUCCAUCUAUGUUAAGCCCUGGGUUAACUCUGCAGAGAGGCCCCCAGUCACACAGGUUCCUUCUGGCCCAGAGUGACCCCCCUGUGGACGACUGCCGAGUGAGAGCAUGCAUGAUUACCAGAGGUUGCCCAAGCUCCAAAGGAAGAACUCCAUGAUCAACACCCCUGACACUGCGUGGAAAUGGACACGACUGAUGAAUGUGAAAAGGAAUCAUUGAAAUGGAAAAUCCUGGAGCUGAAAGUGGCCGUAUCCAGCUCUACUCUGUGAAUUUUGUAUUUUUUCUUUUAUUUAUUCAUCAUCUCAACAGACAUGUUUUGCGAAUAUACUACAUGCAAAUUACUACAUUGGGUGCUAGGAAAAGAACUGUGAACAAGGGAAGAGGCCAUGUGAGGACACAGUGAGAAGGCAGCCAUAUACAAGCCUGGAAGAGAGGCUUCACCAGAAAUCAACCCAGAUGGCACCUUGAUCUUGGACUUCUAGCUUCCUGAACUCUUCUCGAAGACCAGUCCUCGUGAAGAAAGUGAGGGAAUACUCAUCCUUACUUCCCUCCCACUUCUGUCAGAGGGAACAAUAUUUCCCAAAGUGUGGAAUUCAGACUAGUGCUGAAUAUGUAAGCUGAAAGCAUCCUGACCGAUAAGAGUGGUUAAACUGGUUUCUUCAGUCAGUGAGGAGGGAAUUGGCUCCUGGCUCCACCACAGGAAUUAUAUGCCCUCUUCAAAGCUGCUUCCUCCUCUGAGACGCAGACAUCUCCUGACACCUCCCCUAGUCCAGGCAGAGGAAAUGGAUGGCUUGAUGAUCUGAUGCAAAGGAGAAAGGAAGAAGCAUCAGCCCCACUUGGAGACAUGCUGUAGCUGUGCACCACAGAUGCUAACUGAAUUAAGGAGGCUGCAUAGAACAGCAGGGAACAGUCUUGGGCUAAGGAAACCAGGUUAUGCAGUCAACAGUUUUGACAGCUACAAAGGGACCCAGAGCAGACUUUUCUCCUUUGCCUGAACUCUCCAAGGAUCCAGAGCCUAGGUACCAGCAGAGGAUUCUUGGGCCCAUCUGCCACCUCAUAGAGUCCGGAUGAAUUUGGACUGGUUGCUGCGCUCUCCUCCGAGGCUCUGAAGCUCCCCCUCUGUCCAGGCUGAUCUCCCCACAGGUGAGGGAACCUCCCAGGGUGUGGGAACCUUUCCUCUUUCACAGCUCCCUCCCUGGGGCGCAGGUCCUGUCCUGAUUCCUUUCUGUCUUUCUUCUUCUUUUGUCUUAUCUGGUUAUGUGGAGGUUUUCUUGCCCUUUCAGAAGUCUGAGGCCAGUGUUUAGAUUUUCUGUGCAAAUUGUUCCACUUGUAGAUGUAUUUUUGAUGUAUCUGUGGGAGGAGGUGAGCUCCAUGUCCUGUUCCUCUGCCAUCCUGAUUCCUCAGCCCUUGCUAAAUUAAUUUAAGUAAUGGGAAUCCACUGACUAUCCAGGUCACUUCAAAUAAGAUAAAAUACUCAAACAUUAUUUGCUAAACAGGUCUAUAUUUACCUACUUUUGUCUCCUUACAAGAAGGAAACUAAAGAUGUUUGGGUUUACUAGACACAACUCUUGUACCACAUUGAGGAAAGAAAUUAUGCUAUGAGAAGAUGUAUGUUUCUAGAGGUUAAGUGAUAUGCCAAUCAGGAAUGCUGGUAUGACAGACAGUUCACAAUUACUUGCUACUUGUCAGUUUUCACUAGAGAUUAACGUUUUUAAGGGUUAAAAUUAUAAUAUGUAAUUAAAGCUACUAAAGAUAAUAAGGGAAACAUUUCAGUAUGCAAGGAAAGUAGGGUGUGUUUUUUUCAGCAAAAGAAGGUAUGAAGAAUGGAAGGGCAUUUUGUUAAGUGGAAAGAAUGAUUUUGUCCUAGAGCUGGUUGUUUCUGGAUGGAAAAAUAAGGGACAGAGUAACAGGAACAGAGAAAGUUGUGGAAGGUUCGUAAAAAGGGAGCCCUGAAAAGGAGUUUUGUACAUGGUCAGGCUGGGACUGGAUUAAAUUUAAUUAGGUAAGUGGAUAUUACUAUUAAAAGUAGGCUGGUGAAAGACUGGAUUUGGUUCCUCUGUUAAGAGAACAAAGUUAUCUUGAAAUACUGCUUUUGAAAACAGAUUUUGUAAGUCAUCUUUGUUUUUGAAAUCUUUUUUUUUUUUUUCUCGGUACGCGGGCCUCUCACUGUUGUGGCCUCUCCUGUUGCAGAGCACAGGCUCCGGACGCGCAGGCUCAGUGGCCAUGGCUCACGGGCCUAGCCGCUCCGCGGCAUGUGGGAUCUUCCCGGACCGGGGCACGAACCUGUGUCCCCUGCAUCGGCAGGCGGACUCUCAACCACUGCACCACCAGGGAAGCCCGAAAUCUUUUGUCACUUUAAGUGAAUAAGUAUUGUUUCACAGUGACCUAUGAUCCUAUUUGACCAAGUGUUUUGAAACCUUUUUGAUAUUUUUGACAAAAUUUCCCAAAUAACAAAUUCUAACUGAAGUUCUUUUGACUUCCAGAUAACUCUGGGAUGCUUCAAAGAAACCCUGCGACAUCUCAGAGAGAAACGUUAAGCUAAUUAGGCUAAUUUGGUAUGUUAAAUUACUUGAGAAGCACUGUCAAGUGAUUGGAGAUAAACCUUCUUAGGUUAUAUGGUAUGGGUAAAUGUCAUUAAUACAAAUAUUCCAAAAUUUAUACGGAAUUCCUAAAAAUCUGGUAUGUCCUGGUAUAAGGUUAUCAGUCAUAAUUCUAGGUGUUAUCUUAGGAUGUUGUAUGUCACAGAAAUAUCCAAGUUUCUUGUCAAUUACAUUAUAAUCAAUCAGAUCUUUAACCAUGCCAUUUUAAGUCUUGUUGUUUAUACACAAUCACUGUUUUACUCUGAUGCUUUUAUAUAUGAAGAUCUUAGUGAAGAUUCAUAAAAAGCACUUUUGAUAAAUACAAGUUUUUGAUAACUUUUAGAUCUUACUCCUGAACUGGGUAAGAAAUUUUAAAAGACUAAUGGAAAACCUGACAACUUCAUCUAGAUGAACAGGAAUUAAUUACAUGGACUGAAUGAAUUGAUGAACAUGACUUAUAAUUUUAUGACUUUUUUCUGAAAUAUGCUGGUUUUUAAUCUCUGUUUUCCAGAAAACCUUUCCUCUCACGCUAACUAUGACCUUCAACAAGUUGAUAAAGUAUACCUUUGUAAACGAAGAUGAAACAUUUAUCUUUUUCUCUCUACCUGAUCCCUCCAGAAUUUGGCUUCUCCAGUUGGCUCCCCUGUGGACUUGAUGGCUUAUUUUGACCAGAUUACAACUAGUUAUACUGUUAAACUGUUACACUGUUUUAGUUUGUUCUCGGCAUUUUCAAAUUACUUAUGCCUUGUGCCUCUCUCUGCUGCACUAUCAGUUUAUUAAUGUUACUAGCUGUAUUACUUAUGUCCUGUCUGUUUUAUGAGAUUGUUAUCUCUUACAUUACCAAAGUGUAACCAAGCCUCCAGCAAAAUUAAUGACGUCUCGAGUUAGUUGAUCAUGUACAUAACCCUACAUAGAAUAACUGUAGUAGUGCAAUUCUAGAUCUGGGAAGAAGCAACGAGGGAAAACAUUUCCUGGAUCACAACAGACUAAUAAGACAGGUGAUCCAGAGAAUUUUAGAUUAUCAACAGGGUCUAACCCACAACAAAUCAGCACACUGAGUGGCCUAGCAACAGAAUCUUCGCGUGAUCAAGGGAUGAGCCUUCCUAGCCCUGAGGGACAAAAUUGGUCAUGAAAUGCCUCCCAAAUACUGGUUGAAUUUAUGGCCAAGAGGAAGCACUGUGAGCAAAGACUGUCACCUGCCGUAUCAGUAAACAAGCCAUGAAGCCAUCAGCCUCUGCAGCCACCACCAAUGGUGCAGCCUGAGGGGAUUCAGAAUGGAGAAAAACAGGAUACUGGCCCUAGACAGUUAAGGUGCAUAUUAAAGGAAUGAUUUCAAUGAGCCAAGGGCCUUGCAUCUUCCCAUACAUAGAAAAGCACUAAAUUCAUUAACUGUAGAUGUCUGUUUUUUCAUUAAUUAGCAGCAAUCUUGUGAUGUUCGACUUCCUGAUUUUAUUUUUGCAAAAACUCCUACAUAUUCCUGGCUCCUCCCUUACCUCUUUGGAACACUCUCUCAGAGCUAUCUGAGAGGCUGUCUCCUGGGCUGAGGUCCUCAGUAUGUCUGCUGAAUAAAACAUAGUUCUCAACUUC
This is a long non-coding RNA of Orcinus orca (killer whale), 4692 nucleotides long. RefSeq lists it as uncharacterized. The transcript is spliced from 13 exons. The record is from RefSeq and is a predicted model, not a curated record. Lineage: Eukaryota; Metazoa; Chordata; Mammalia; Artiodactyla; Delphinidae.